Molecule: unclassified non-coding RNA, 416 nt
Filed under: Hevea brasiliensis (rubber tree)
Lineage: Eukaryota; Viridiplantae; Streptophyta; Magnoliopsida; Malpighiales; Euphorbiaceae
Source: RNAcentral
CAGAAUCACAACUAUGCAGUUGAUCCUGCUUCACUUCCUGAGGGUGUAGAAGUGACUCAUAUCAAUCUAAAUGAUGGAAGCUGUGCUGGUCUUGCUUAUCCUCAACUAAACAUCAUGUCUCUUCAAUACCAUCCUGAGGCAUCCCCCGGGCCUCAUGAUUCAGAUACUGUUUUUGGAGAAUUUGUAGAGCUAAUGAAACAAGCCAAACAAAAGGCUUAGGCAAAAUCUGCAAAUAUUGACGAUUGAAGUUCUAUGCUACUGUGAUAUUUUAGAUGGCAGUGCUUGUGAUGGGCGUUGCUCCUCAUUCCAGUUCACCUCAAAUGUUUACAGAUUAAAGUAAUCAGGGGUCUCAUUAUCAUAAUUUCAAUUUUUUUUUCUUAAUAUUUGAGAACAUUUAUAUGUUUGCUUCAUUGUCC